AGAAGGUUUAAUUGAGCAACAAGACGAUCAGCAUAUGGAGGAUGUGGGUGAUGAGUAUUUUCAAGAUCUGUUUUCCAGAUCAUUUUUUCAAUCUUCAAGCACUGGUGGAUUCAUAAUGCACGACCUUGUGAAUGAUUUGGCACAGUCUGUUGCUGGAGAGACAUGUUUCAGAUUAGAGGAUUCAUCAAUGGUUGGUCAAUAAUUUGAAAAAGAAAAAGCUCGCCACUUCUCUUACAUUUGCAUGUAUUAUGGUCAAAUUGAAAGAUUUGUACCCUUCCUUAGGAUCAAAUGUUUACGGACCUUCUUGGCCUUUUCAAUAGAGGAAAACUGUGGAAGUCAUCGUCUUAUGCAUCUGUAUUACUUAGCAAAUUGCAUUCCAUCUGUUUUGUUGUCAAAAUUAAGAUGUCUAAGGGUACUAUCUUUUCGUCAUUACAAGAUCACUGAGCUACCAGAUUGAAUAGGUGAUUUGAAGCAUCUAAGAUAUCUUGACCUUUCAUACACAAACAUUAUAACUUUACCUGAGGCAACAACCUCUCUCUGCAACUUACAGACUAUGCUACUGAAAGGAUGUUAUAAUCUCAAGAAAUUGCCUUCAGAAAUGCAAAAUUUGAUCAAACUACGUCAUCUUGAUAUGGAAAACACAUAUGCAGGGAUGCCACAGGGAAUAGAAGCAUUGAAGAGUCUUCGGAUAUUGUCUGAUUUUGUUGUGGGGAAAGGUAAUGAAGAAGUAGGUAUAACAGCUUUGAUGAAUUUA
RNAcentral lists this unclassified non-coding RNA (754 nucleotides) under Hevea brasiliensis (rubber tree). Lineage: Eukaryota; Viridiplantae; Streptophyta; Magnoliopsida; Malpighiales; Euphorbiaceae. The record is from RNAcentral.